Molecule: long non-coding RNA, 225 nt
Filed under: Linum usitatissimum (flax)
Lineage: Eukaryota; Viridiplantae; Streptophyta; Magnoliopsida; Malpighiales; Linaceae
Description: long non-coding RNA (LUSI_LNC006464)
Source: RNAcentral
UAACACGUGAUGCUUCCCACUAAUAAACUAUGCAAUUGUUUGGCUCUUUAUAUAUAGGUUUAAUUGUUUAAGAUAAACUAAUUAAUACCUAAAAGCUAACAAAAUAAAAUCGCUUUUCAAACAUUGAAAACCCAAAAAAAAUUGAAAAAUAGGUGUGCCCAGUUUGGUUCCAAUCGUCGUUAGAUCAUGAAUGUUCAUCCUUGCCCGUUGGAUCAGGUCAUUAGU